Molecule: ribosomal RNA, 253 nt
Filed under: uncultured bacterium
Lineage: Bacteria
Description: partial 16S ribosomal RNA
Rfam family: Bacterial small subunit ribosomal RNA
Source: RNAcentral
UACGUAGGGUGCAAGCGUUGUCCGGAAUUAUUGGGCGUAAAGAGCUCGUAGGCGGUCUGUCGCGUCGAAUGUGAAAACCCGGGGCUCAACCCCGGGCCUGCAUUCGAUACGGGCAGACUAGAGUUCGGUAGGGGAGUCUGGAAUUCCUGGUGUAGCGGUGAAAUGCGUAGAUAUCAGGAGGAACACCGGUGGUGUAGACGGCUAGCUGGACAAGCACUGACACUCAACUACGAAAGCGUGGGGAGCAAACAGG